RNAcentral lists this long non-coding RNA (555 nucleotides) under Elaeis guineensis (African oil palm). Its description in RNAcentral is "long non-coding RNA (EGUI_LNC056022)". Lineage: Eukaryota; Viridiplantae; Streptophyta; Magnoliopsida; Arecales; Arecaceae. The record is from RNAcentral.
GGAGAGGAGCUGGAGAAGAUCAUGUUCUCAGUCAAAAAUCAAAGAGAAUCGAGCUAGAAAAAAUGAUUUUAAUUUGAAAGAAAAAAAUUGUUGAAAUUGCUGAUAGUGAAAAAAAAAGAGACCUACGUUUAUAGUAGUGGAGUUUUAACCACUUGAAGUAAGAAUUUUAAUCCCUAAAUUAGAUCUAAACUGAACCUUGAAUAAUUACUAUCAGAUUUAAUAUUUUGGUGAAUCAAAUUAUGAAUUUAAACCUGAUCUGGAGGAUGAAUUUCUGCUGCCAAGUUUACUAAAACUAGUCUAAAAUAUUUUAGCAAAUGGGUUGGAAUGUAUAUUGGCUGAAUUUAGGAUAAAUUAUGAAAAUAAAAUACAGUUGAAUUGCUGAAAUUUUUGAGUUUAUGUUGAGGUUUAGCUAAUACUAAAUAGGGUAAAACAGAAUAGAAUAAAAGUAAGAGUUAGAAGGGCUAAAGAAUAAGCAUAAAAUGCAAAGCAUGCAUUCUUAUAUUCAUAUAUCGUGUAAGUAUUGCAUUAAUAAGUGUGUACCAAUUUUAUAGGAGA